RNAcentral lists this ribosomal RNA (513 nucleotides) under uncultured bacterium. RNAcentral's name for it is "partial 16S ribosomal RNA". It matches the Rfam family "Bacterial small subunit ribosomal RNA", at positions 28 to 523 of the family's 1533-position model. The record is from RNAcentral.
GACGAACGCUGGCGGCAUGCCUAAUACAUGCAAGUCGAGCGAACAGAUGAAGUGCUUGCACUUCUGACGUUAGCGGCGAACGGGUGAGUAACACGUAAGGAAUCUACCUAUAAGCGGGGGAUAACAUUCGGAAACGGGUGCUAAUACCGCAUAAUAUCUUCUUCCGCAUGGAAGAAGAUUGAAAGACGGCUCUGCUGUCACUUAUAGAUGACCUUGCGGUGCAUUAGUUAGUUGGUGGGGUAACGGCCUACCAAGACGAUGAUGCAUAGCUGACCGGAGAUGGUGAUCGGCCACAUUGGGACUGAGACACGGCCCAAACUCCUACGGGAGGCAGCAGUAGGGAAUCUUCCGCAAUGGGCGAAAGCCUGACGGAGCAAUGCCGCGUGAGUGAAGAAGGCCUUCGGGUCGUAAAACUCCGUUAUAAGAGAAGAACAAAUUGUAGAGUAACUGCUACAGUCUUGACGGUAUCUUAUCAGAAAGCCACGGCUAACUACGUGCCAGCCGCCGCGGUAA